RNAcentral lists this unclassified non-coding RNA (353 nucleotides) under soil metagenome. Its description in RNAcentral is "partial contains 5.8S ribosomal RNA, internal transcribed spacer 2, and large subunit ribosomal RNA". The stretch from base 1 to 120 matches the Rfam family "5.8S ribosomal RNA", at positions 35 to 154 of the family's 154-position model. The record is from RNAcentral.
GAUGAAGAACGUAGCGAAAUGCGAUAAGUAAUGUGAAUUGCAGAAUUCAGUGAAUCAUCGAAUCUUUGAACGCACAUUGCGCCCGCCAGUAUUCUGGCGGGCAUGCCUGUUCGAGCGUCAUUACAACCCUCAGGCCCCCGGGCCUGGCGUUGGGGAUCGGCGGAAGCCCCCUGCGGGCACAACGCCGUCCCCCAAAUACAGUGGCGGUCCCGCCGCAGCUUCCAUUGCGUAGUAGCUAACACCUCGCAGCUGGAGAGCGGCGCGGCCACGCCGUAAAACUCCCAACUUCUGAAUGUUGACCUCGAAUCAGGUAGGAAUACCCGCUGAACUUAAGCAUAUCAAUAAGCGGAGGA